AGGUCAGUAGCUCGAAUUGGUAGAGCGGCAGACUCCAAAUCUGCGGGUUGGGGGUUCGAAUCCCUCCUGGCCUGCCA
RNAcentral lists this transfer RNA (77 nucleotides) under bacterium. Its description in RNAcentral is "tRNA-Trp". It matches the Rfam family "tRNA". Rfam says of the family: Transfer RNA (tRNA) molecules are approximately 80 nucleotides in length. Their secondary structure includes four short double-helical elements and three loops (D, anti-codon, and T loops). RNAcentral also lists the same sequence under 1 other name. The record is from RNAcentral.